UAAGUAGCUUCCCUUUAUUCUUUGAUACUUUAAGCACAUCUUUUUUAGCCUUUCUAAUGUUUAAUGAUGCAUAACUGCUAUGCUACAUCUGAAAUAAACAGCCAAUAUAUGCUAAUACUCUUUUCUUUGUAUUCCUUGGGAAUCAUUGCCAAAGCGCACAGCUGUAUGAUUUGAUGAAACUUGUCCAUAUUUCUGCUUAAGAUAAUUCUCACAUGCAGUCAUUUCAUUAUGGGGUGUGGGUGCAACAGUAAUAUUAAGCUUUUCAGUUUUCAAUUGUUUAAGAGAACAGCCAUAUGACUUUCAAAUUUAAGGAUUCGUCCUAAUUUUGAGAAUUUCCCCUCCCUAGUAAGUUAGAGAAAUUUAAGCUAACAAUUCAUCUAGUGUUGUUUUGGAGAAUCAGAUAUUCUUUCCUAUUUAUGAGUGGAUGUGCAUGAAAUAUUUUGUCUGCUCGUGUUGAGGUUCCAAGAGGUACAAUGUUUGUGCAGUUACGGGUUUGCAUAAAGCGGAACUGAAAAGAGAGAUUUGUCUAUGUUAAUAACCUUAACCUUUCUAAGUAAAAGAUAAAUGUAUUACGACUUUCUGUUUGUCAGUGCUUUUUAAAAUUUGAACACCCUAAACAUUUGGAGCAGAUGUUGGAUUAAGACUACUGAAGAAAAGAAUCAACUUGCAAUGAUAAAGCUCUUUAGUGCACUGAACAAUUACAUAAAGCUUCUUAUCCACUUAAAUCAUUUAGCCGGUUUUCUUUUCCUUUCUCCACUUAUAUUGUGUGCUAAGGUGGAUGUUAGAAACUAGAAUGAUUUCCCUGCACCCAACCCCCAAAGAGAAGCCACUGAAAGAGGAUGAGAGGCCCAGAGUGGGUCCAGGAGAAUGAUAAACAUCCAAUCUGCAGGCAUUAGGUAUUUUUCAGAAGCUCCAAGUUCUGCUUAUUUGUAGGAUUUUACGCAAUUUAAAAUGAACCACCUUGCUAACUUUUCUUAGGAUUGAAGGUGUUUUGAUGAAGGCUCAUUUCAUAUGCUGUUAUUCUUUUGCUGUGAUCAUACACUCAUUUCAAACAAACGUCUUCUGUUGCUAACUUGCUGCAUGUGCUGUUCCUUAAGGAAGUCUUAGGAAUUAAAGUCUUCAACUAUUUAUGAAAUAUGUUUUGUUUAUUGAGGACAGUUUACUAAUUUCAUGGCUAGUUGUUCUGGUCUUUCUCAUGUGUGCCAGACUGAGGAGUCAGCUCGGUGGGGUAAACAGUAUUUAAUCCCAGUCAGAAGUAUCUAUAUAGACCUCUUUUUUCGUUUGCCAAUGUAAAUCCAGUUGUCUAAAAACUUGUAUCUUACCAGUUCCACACUUAUGACUGAGGAGUUAGCUCAAUGGGGUAAACAGUAUUUAAUCCCAGUCAGAAGUAUCUAUAUAGACCCCUUUUUUCGUUUGCCAGUGUAAAUCUAGUUGUCUAAAAGCUUGUAUCUUACCAGUCCCACUCUUAUGACUGCAGUUCCAAUCAUAUAUCAAGUUUACC
RNAcentral lists this long non-coding RNA (1501 nucleotides) under Nicotiana benthamiana. RNAcentral's name for it is "long non-coding RNA (NBEN_LNC007705)". Lineage: Eukaryota; Viridiplantae; Streptophyta; Magnoliopsida; Solanales; Solanaceae. The record is from RNAcentral.